GGAGUUAGCCGGUGCUUCUUCUGCGAGUAACGUCACAGAUGUAAGGUAUUAACUUACACCCUUUCCUCCUCGCUGAAAGUGCUUUACAACCCGAAGGCCUUCUUCACACACGCGGCAUGGCUGCAUCAGGGUUUCCCCCAUUGUGCAAUAUUCCCCACUGCUGCCUCCCGUAGGAGUCUGGGCCGUGUCUCAGUCCCAGUGUGGAUGAUCAUCCUCUCAGACCAGCUAGGGAUCGUCGCCUAGGUGAGCCUUUACCUCACCUACUAGCUAAUCCCACCUGGGCUUAUCCAUCAGCGCAAGGCCCGAAGGUCCCCUGCUUUCCCCCGUAGGGCGUAUGCGGUAUUAGCAGUCGUUUCCAACUGUUAUCCCCCACAAAUGGGCAAAUUCCCAGGCAUUACUCACCCGUCCGCCGCUCGUCAUCUUCAAAAGCAAGCUUUUGAAAUGUUACCGCUCGACUUGCAUGUGUUAGGCCUGCCGCCAGCGUUCAAUCUGAGCCAGANCAACCAACUUCACUACGAGACGGCGUCGCGACGACGC
Molecule: ribosomal RNA, 537 nt
Filed under: uncultured bacterium
Lineage: Bacteria
Description: partial 16S ribosomal RNA
Source: RNAcentral